GAGGGUAUAGCUCAGUGGCAGAGCAGCAUGUUUAGCAUGCAUGAGGUCAUGGGCUCGAUCCCCAGUACCUCUU
RNAcentral lists this transfer RNA (73 nucleotides) under Camelus bactrianus (Bactrian camel). It matches the Rfam family "tRNA". Rfam says of the family: Transfer RNA (tRNA) molecules are approximately 80 nucleotides in length. Their secondary structure includes four short double-helical elements and three loops (D, anti-codon, and T loops). Lineage: Eukaryota; Metazoa; Chordata; Mammalia; Artiodactyla; Camelidae. RNAcentral also lists the same sequence under 1 other name. The record is from Rfam by way of RNAcentral.